RNAcentral lists this ribosomal RNA (1040 nucleotides) under Anaerococcus sp. enrichment culture clone MRHull-Fe-04H. RNAcentral describes it as "bacterial SSU rRNA". It matches the Rfam family "Bacterial small subunit ribosomal RNA", at positions 336 to 1397 of the family's 1533-position model. Lineage: Bacteria; Bacillati; Bacillota; Tissierellia; Tissierellales; Peptoniphilaceae. The record is from RNAcentral.
CUCCUACGGGAGGCAGCAGUGGGGAAUUUUGCACAAUGGGGGAAACCCUGAUGCAGCGACGCCGCGUGAUUUAGAAGGCCUUCGGGUUGUAAAAAUCUUUUGUAUAGGAAGAAAAUGACAGUACUAUACGAAUAAGGUCCGGCUAAUUACGUGCCAGCAGCCGCGGUAAUACGUAAGGACCGAGCGUUGUCCGGAAUCAUUGGCGUAAAGGGUACGUAGGCGGCUAGAAAAGUUAGAAGUCAAAGGCUAUAGCUCAACUAUAGUAAGCUUCUAAAACUAUUUAGCUUGAGAAAUGGAAGGGGAAGUGGAAUUCCUAGUGUAGCGGUGGAAUGCGCAGAUAUUAGGAAGAAUACCGGUGGCGAAGGCGACUUUCUGGCCAUUAUCUGACGCUGAGGUACGAAAGCGUGGGUAGCAAACAGGAUUAGAUACCCUGGUAGUCCACGCCGUAAACGAUGAGUGUUAGGUGUCUGGAGUCAAAUCUGGGUGCCGCAGCAAACGCAUUAAACACUCCGCCUGGGGAGUACGCACGCAAGUGUGAAACUCAAAGGAAUUGACGGGGACCCGCACAAGCGGCGGAGCAUGUGGUUUAAUUCGACGCAACGCGAAGAACCUUACCAAGUCUUGACAUAUUACGGAAGCAGUUAGAGAUAAUUGCUUACAUCUUCGGAUGACUGUAAUACAGGUGGUGCAUGGUUGUCGUCAGCUCGUGUCGUGAGAUGUUGGGUUAAGUCCCAUAACGAGCGCAACCCCUAUUGCUAGUUACCAUCAUUAAGUUGGGGACUCUAGUAAUACUGCCGGUGACAAACCGGAGGAAGGUGGGGAUGACGUCAAAUCAUCAUGCCCUUUAUGACUUGGGCUACACACGUGUUACAAUGGCAGGUACACAGGGAAGCAAGACUGCGAAGUUAAGCGAAACUCAAAAAGCCUGUCCCAGUUCGGAUUGCACUCUGCAACUCGAGUGCAUGAAGUUGGAGUUGCUAGUAAUCGUGGAUCAGAAUGCCGCGGUGAAUGCGUUCCCGGGUCUUGCACACACCGCCCGU